Molecule: small nucleolar RNA, 118 nt
Filed under: Castor canadensis (American beaver)
Lineage: Eukaryota; Metazoa; Chordata; Mammalia; Rodentia; Castoridae
Description: Small nucleolar RNA SNORA61 (ENSCCNG00000029111.1)
Rfam family: Small nucleolar RNA SNORA61
About the family: ACA61 is a member of the H/ACA class of snoRNA that guide the sites of modification of uridines to pseudouridines.
Source: Rfam by way of RNAcentral
ACCCUUUGGUUCCUUUUCCUAUUAGAUCUGAAUGCUGGUCUUGGUAGUCCUAAAAGGAAGGAAGGUGAUCACAGCACUGCAGUCUGUACUAGAGCAUGUGGGCCAGUUUCAAACAGAA